GCCCGGCUAGCUCAAUCGGUAGAGCGUGAGACUCUUAUGGAGUUGCUCCGUCAUCUCAAGGUUGUGGGUUCGACCCCCACGUCGGGCU
Molecule: transfer RNA, 88 nt
Filed under: Schizothecium vesticola
Lineage: Eukaryota; Fungi; Ascomycota; Sordariomycetes; Sordariales; Schizotheciaceae
Rfam family: tRNA
About the family: Transfer RNA (tRNA) molecules are approximately 80 nucleotides in length. Their secondary structure includes four short double-helical elements and three loops (D, anti-codon, and T loops).
Source: Rfam by way of RNAcentral